AGCGGCGGACGGGUGAGUAAUGCUUAGGAAUCUGCCUAUUAGUGGGGGACAACAUUCCGAAAGGAAUGCUAAUACCGCAUACGCCCUACGGGGGAAAGCAGGGGAUCUUCGGACCUUGCGCUAAUAGAUGAGCCUAAGUCAGAUUAGCUAGUUGGUGGGGUAAAGGCCUACCAAGGCGACGAUCUGUAGCGGGUCUGAGAGGAUGAUCCGCCACACUGGGACUGAGACACGGCCCAGACUCCUACGGGAGGCAGCAGUGGGGAAUAUUGGACAAUGGGCGAAAGCCUGAUCCAGCCAUGCCGCGUGUGUGAAGAAGGCCUUUUGGUUGUAAAGCACUUUAAGCGAGGAGGAGGCUACUUAGAUUAAUACUCUAGGAUAGUGGACGUUACUCGCAGAAUAAGCACCGGCUAACUCUGUGCCAGCAGCCGCGGUAAUACAGAGGGUGCGAGCGUUAAUCGGAUUUACUGGGCGUAAAGCGUGCGUAGGCGGCUUCUUAAGUCGGAUGUGAAAUCCCUGAGCUUAACUUAGGAAUUGCAUUCGAUACUGGGAAGCUAGAGUAUGGGAGA
RNAcentral lists this ribosomal RNA (566 nucleotides) under Acinetobacter johnsonii. RNAcentral describes it as "bacterial SSU rRNA". It matches the Rfam family "Bacterial small subunit ribosomal RNA", at positions 94 to 655 of the family's 1533-position model. The record is from RNAcentral. Lineage: Bacteria; Pseudomonadati; Pseudomonadota; Gammaproteobacteria; Moraxellales; Moraxellaceae.